This 643-nucleotide ribosomal RNA is filed under the name uncultured Porphyromonadaceae bacterium. RNAcentral's name for it is "bacterial SSU rRNA". It matches the Rfam family "Bacterial small subunit ribosomal RNA", at positions 72 to 715 of the family's 1533-position model. Lineage: Bacteria; Pseudomonadati; Bacteroidota; Bacteroidia; Bacteroidales; Porphyromonadaceae. The record is from RNAcentral.
UAGCAAAUACUUUGGUGGCGACCGGCGCACGGGUGAGUAACGCGUAUGCAACCCCCCUAUCAGAGGGGAAUAACCCGGCGAAAGUCGGACUAAUACCGCAUAAAACAGGGACACCGCAUGGUGAUAUUUGUUAAAGAAAUUCGCUGAUAGAUGGGCAUGCGUUCCAUUAGGUAGUUGGUGAGGUAACGGCUCACCAAGCCGACGAUGGAUAGGGGAACUGAGAGGUUGGUCCCCCACACUGGUACUGAGACACGGACCAGACUCCUACGGGAGGCAGCAGUGAGGAAUAUUGGUCAAUGGGCGAGAGCCUGAACCAGCCAAGUCGCGUGAAGGAAGAAGGAUCUAUGGUUCGUAAACUUCUUUUGCAGGGGAAUAAAGUGCAGGACGUGUCCUGUUUUGUAUGUACCCUGAGAAUAAGGAUCGGCUAACUCCGUGCCAGCAGCCGCGGUAAUACGGAGGAUCCGAGCGUUAUCCGGAUUUAUUGGGUUUAAAGGGUGCGUAGGUGGUUUGAUAAGUCAGCGGUGAAGGUUUGCAGCUUAACUGUAAAAAUGCCGUUGAAACUGUCGGACUUGAGUGUAAAUGAGGUAGGCGGAAUGCGUGGUGUAGCGGUGAAAUGCUUAGAUAUCACGAAGAACUCCGAUUG